GGCAUUGGUGGUUCAGUGGUAGAAUUCUUGCCUUCUGUGUAGGAGACCCAGGUUUGAUUCCUGGCCAACAUGCCU
This 75-nucleotide transfer RNA is filed under the name Procavia capensis (Cape rock hyrax). RNAcentral describes it as "tRNA-Arg (TCT) (tRNA-Arg-TCT-6-1)". It matches the Rfam family "tRNA". From Rfam's summary of the family: Transfer RNA (tRNA) molecules are approximately 80 nucleotides in length. Their secondary structure includes four short double-helical elements and three loops (D, anti-codon, and T loops). Lineage: Eukaryota; Metazoa; Chordata; Mammalia; Hyracoidea; Procaviidae. The record is from RNAcentral.